This 175-nucleotide ribosomal RNA is filed under the name uncultured bacterium. Its description in RNAcentral is "partial 16S ribosomal RNA". It matches the Rfam family "Bacterial small subunit ribosomal RNA", at positions 1326 to 1500 of the family's 1533-position model. The record is from RNAcentral.
CUGGAAUCGCUAGUAAUCGCGGAUCAGAAUGCCGCGGUGAAUACGUUCCCGGGUCCUGUACACACCGCCCGUCACACCAUGGGAGUCGGAAAUGCCCGAAGUCUGUGACCCAACCUACGGGAGGGAGCAGCCGAAGGCAGGUCGGAUGACUGGGGUGAAGUCGUAACAAGGUAUC